Molecule: ribosomal RNA, 253 nt
Filed under: uncultured bacterium
Lineage: Bacteria
Description: partial 16S ribosomal RNA
Rfam family: Bacterial small subunit ribosomal RNA
Source: RNAcentral
UACGGGGGGGGCAAGCGUUGUUCGGAAUUACUGGGCGUAAAGGGCUUGUAGGUGGCCAACUAAGUCAGACGUGAAAUCCCUCGGCUUAACCGGGGAACUGCGUCUGAUACUGGAUGGCUAGAGUGUGGGAGAGGGAUGCGGAAUUCCAGGUGUAGCGGUGAAAUGCGUAGAUAUCUGGAGGAACACCGGUGGCGAAGGCGGCAUCCUGGACCGGUAUUGACGCUGAGGCGCGAAAGCCAGGGGAGCAAACGGG